CUCGAGGACCAUACUUUUCAAAUAUACUCAUCAAGGAAGAUGGCACCCCAAUCUCUGUUUCUGUAGGCGAGGAGGAGCCUAACUUCAGCAGGUAGCCUUGUUCCAGAUUGUAAACCUACUUCUUGGCAUGAAGAACAUGAAGUAACGCUAGGAGAGAGCAAUUCCAUGGGAGAGAUGCCAGCAGGGGCCACAACCAGAAUGUGGGGAGACGGUGCCCCUGAAAAAAGAGGAGGAGGAGAGGAAGUGGCAGGCUAUGCUGGCUUCUGUCGUUGGAUCAACAGCUCCUAUAAUUAAACUUGGUUUACAUAGUCAGGUUUCAGCAGUCAAGACCUAACAGGAGCAAAAGAGGAAAUGGUAUACAGAGAGGAGAAAUAAAGGCUUAUAACAUUCACCUGCAUUAAAAGAAAGGAAAAAUCUGCAGAAAACAUUUCAUUAUGACGCCUCACAAAAGGAAAUUUCUGAGGCACAGAAAUUUAUCUUCAACUUACCUGAAUUAAGAACUGAGAUUCCCAACAUGAAUGCUAGCAAGAAUUUCUGAGUUCAUGGCUCUACACUGUGCAACUUCAAUAAGAGCUACUAGAUGUCAAGAUAGUUUAUCAGAAGAAGCUGAUCCGUGGCUCCUUGGUCAUCUUCACCUGCAUACACAAGUGCCUGAAGCUGGAGCAUCCAGAGAGUAAUUAGACAGAGAAAUCUGGCAAACUUUUACACUGGUGAACCAAGAAGGAAAAAGCUAAAUUGUCAUUAGUUGCACAUAAUAUAUUUCUGUUCCUGGUAAAUGCAAAAGGACCACUUAAAAACUAAUAAGCCUAAUGAGUAUUCAGUAAAAUAGUCAGAUACAAGGAAACAUACCAAAAUAAUAUCUUUCUCAAAUGCCAGCAAUAAUCAGUUAGGAACUCAAGCGCUCACACACACACACACACACACACCACAUACACACAAUUUAAAGGAGAAAAAAACUCCUACUGGGUACUUAGGAAUGAACUUCAGAAAUUAGAGAAAGGUGCAACUGAACAAAAUAACAAAUAGUAAAGAAGUAUUAAUUUUAAAGUCUUAAUAAAAGGUACCGUAUUCCUGGAAUAGAAGAAUCAAUAAUACAAAUAUAUCAGUUAUCCCAAAAUAAACAUGAUAUUUCAAUGUAAUCUCCUUCCAAACUGUAAUAAGAAGUAUAUAUACGCGUGCUGACAUGGAAAUACACUCCAUGCAUAUUAUUAGUUGAGAAAAAGCAAGAUGUAGAAUAAUAUCUGAUCCUGCAUCAGUCAACUGAAGUUGUAUAUACAUAGAAUACAUAGAAUCUGCAUGCAUUUUUCUUCCUUUCUCUGUGUGUGCAUUUACACAGGAAUGGAAUAAUCCACACCAAACUCUUAAUAUUGGUGAUUGCUGAGAAACAGGAGUCAGAAAACUUUUUAUAUAUUAUGUUCUUCUGUUUUUCGUGAAAUUUGUAUGAUGAUCACACUAUAUUUGAAAAAAGAGAAUAAAUCAACAAAGAAGCCCAAAGAAAAUAAGUCAUAUUGGGGGGCACAAAAUAAUCAUUUCUAGGAACCUCUGGUUACUUACAAAUCUGUUUCAAGAAAGGCAGUAAGGUAUGCUGAAAUGACUCCCUCAAU
Long non-coding RNA from Felis catus (domestic cat), 1604 nucleotides. RefSeq lists it as uncharacterized. The record is from RefSeq and is a predicted model, not a curated record. NCBI's taxonomy places the organism in Eukaryota, Metazoa, Chordata, Mammalia, Carnivora, Felidae. The transcript is spliced from 5 exons.